This is a small nuclear RNA of Mustela putorius furo (domestic ferret), 107 nucleotides long. The record is from Ensembl. Lineage: Eukaryota; Metazoa; Chordata; Mammalia; Carnivora; Mustelidae.
GUGCUCACUUUGGCUGCACAUAUAUUAAAAUUGGAACGCUACAGAGAAGAUUGGCAUGGCCCUUGCACAAGGAUGACAUGCACAUCCAUGAAGCAUUCCAUAUUUUA